AGUUAACAACGUUCACAGCACUGUCUGGUUCACACUGAGUUUUUAGCGGUGACUGUCCUUCCUUUGCAGUACCUGAAGUUGCUGCAUUUUGGCUGCUGUCUGUAGAUUCCUUCAUGCACGACUCGUAUUCUUUUGGAUGUUUCAU
Etheostoma cragini (Arkansas darter) is the source of this 145-nucleotide long non-coding RNA. RefSeq lists it as uncharacterized. The record is from RefSeq and is a predicted model, not a curated record. Lineage: Eukaryota; Metazoa; Chordata; Actinopteri; Perciformes; Percidae. The transcript is spliced from 3 exons.